UAGUCAUAUGCUUGUCUCAAAGAUUAAGCCAUGCAUGUCUAAGUAUAAGCAAUCAUACUGUGAAACUGCGAAUGGCUCAUUAAAUCAGUUAUCGUUUAUUUGAUAGUACCUUUACCUGGAUAACCGUGGUAAUUCUAGAGCUAAUACAUGCUAAAAACCCCGACUUCGGGAGGGGUGUAUUUAUUAGAUAAAAAACCAAUGCCCUCUGGGCUCCUUGGUGAUUCAUAAUAACUCAACGAAUCGCAUGGCCUUGCGCCGGCGAUGGUUCAUUCAAAUUUCUGCCCUAUCAACUUUCGAUUGUAAGAUAGAGGCUUACAAUGGUCUUAACGGGUAACGGGGAAUUAGGGUUCUAUUCCGGAGAGGGAGCCUGAGAAACGGCUACCACAUCCAAGGAAGGCAGCAGGCGCGCAAAUUACCCAAUCCUGACAUGGGGAGGUAGUGACAAUAAAUAACAAUACUGGGCUCAUCGAGUCUGGUAAUUGGAAUGAGUACAAUCUAAAUCCCUUAACGAGGAACAAUU
RNAcentral lists this ribosomal RNA (520 nucleotides) under uncultured eukaryote. RNAcentral's name for it is "SSU rRNA". It matches the Rfam family "Eukaryotic small subunit ribosomal RNA", at positions 21 to 549 of the family's 1831-position model. The record is from RNAcentral.